This is a long non-coding RNA of Nycticebus coucang (slow loris), 314 nucleotides long. RefSeq lists it as uncharacterized. NCBI's taxonomy places the organism in Eukaryota, Metazoa, Chordata, Mammalia, Primates, Lorisidae. The record is from RefSeq and is a predicted model, not a curated record. The transcript has 5 exons.
CUUCAAAAAGCUAAAAUUGCAGAUGGAGGAAAGAAACUAAGUGGGAGAGUUGAUCCAGAAACAUAGCUUCUCAUUACAAUCUACCUCACUUUAAUGAUAAGUGAAAAGGAUUGAGAAGAGUGCUGUAGAUUGUGAUUUGCUACCUGGGACAAUUCUGUGAUAAGAUGCCUGGGAACAGUGUCAGUGAGCGAUAUCUUCAAAACAAAGUUGAGCAACAGCACUGUAGAACAAAAACUGGGCACAAAGCAGAAAGUGUGGAUUUGUAUGGGGCACAUAUAGAAUGGGCCAAGGAAAAAUCAAGCAGAAAGAAUGUC